GUGGGGAAUCUUCCGCAAUGGACGAAAGUCUGACGGAGCAACGCCGCGUCAGUGAAGAAGGUUUUCGGAUCGUAAAGCUCUUUCGUUAGGGACGAACGUGCUCUUUGUGAAUAAUGAGGAGUAAUGACGGUACCUAAAUAAGAAGCCACGGCUAACUACGUGCCAGCAGCCGCGGUAAUACGUAGGUGGCAAGCGUUGUCCGGAAUUAUUGGGCGUAAAGCGCGCGCAGGCGGGAUAUCAAGUCUGUCUUAAAAGUGCGAGGCUCAACCUCGUGAGGGGACAGAAACUGGUAUUCUUGAGUGUCGGAGAGGAAAGUGGAAUUCCAAGUGUAGCGGUGAAAUGCGUAGAGAUUUGGAAGAACACCAGUGGCGAAGGCGACUUUCUGGACGAUGUCUGACGCUGAGGCGCGAAAGCUAGGGGAGCGAACGGGAUUAGAUACCCCUGUAGUCC
Molecule: ribosomal RNA, 450 nt
Filed under: uncultured bacterium
Lineage: Bacteria
Description: partial 16S ribosomal RNA
Rfam family: Bacterial small subunit ribosomal RNA
Source: RNAcentral